CUUGCUUGGGUAACAUGCAGUAUGGAGAAGAUUAGCAUGGCCCUGGGCCAGGAUGACAGGCAAAUUCAUGAAAGUGGUCUAGUAUUU
This 87-nucleotide small nuclear RNA is filed under the name Dipodomys ordii (Ord's kangaroo rat). The record is from RNAcentral. Lineage: Eukaryota; Metazoa; Chordata; Mammalia; Rodentia; Heteromyidae.